UAAGUGAAUAGUGAAAUCCGGGGCUCAACCUCACGGGCUAUUAUUCAAACUGGCAAACUCGAGAAUGGUAGAGGUAACUGGAAUUUCUUGUGUAGGAGUGAAAUCCGUAGAUAUAAGAAGGAACACCAAUGGCGUAGGCAGGUUACUGGACCAUUUCUGACACUGAGGCACGAAAGCGUGGGGAGCGAACGGGAUUAGAUACCCCGGUAGUCCACGCCGUAAACGAUGGAUACUA
Molecule: ribosomal RNA, 235 nt
Filed under: uncultured Candidatus Saccharibacteria bacterium
Lineage: Bacteria; Candidatus Saccharimonadota
Description: partial 16S ribosomal RNA
Rfam family: Bacterial small subunit ribosomal RNA
Source: RNAcentral